UACGUAGGUGGCAAGCGUUGUCCGGAAUUAUUGGGCGUAAAGCGCGCGCAGGUGGUCCUUUAAGUCUGAUGUGAAAGCCCACGGCUCAACCGUGGAGGGUCAUUGGAAACUGGGGGACUUGAGUGCAGGAGAGAAGAGUGGAAUUCCACGUGUAGCGGUGAAAUGCGUAGAGAUCGGGAGGAACACCAGAGGCGAAAGCGGCGACCUGGACAGGCACUGACACUCAACUACGAAAGCGUGGGGAGCAAACAGG
This 253-nucleotide ribosomal RNA is filed under the name uncultured bacterium. RNAcentral's name for it is "partial 16S ribosomal RNA". It matches the Rfam family "Bacterial small subunit ribosomal RNA", at positions 524 to 776 of the family's 1533-position model. The record is from RNAcentral.